This 107-nucleotide Y RNA is filed under the name Propithecus coquereli (Coquerel's sifaka). RNAcentral's name for it is "Y RNA (ENSPCOG00000009888.1)". It matches the Rfam family "Y RNA", at positions 20 to 96 of the family's 96-position model. Rfam says of the family: Y RNAs are components of the Ro ribonucleoprotein particle (Ro RNP), in association with Ro60 and La proteins. The record is from RNAcentral. Lineage: Eukaryota; Metazoa; Chordata; Mammalia; Primates; Indriidae.
GGCUCUUUUAGGAGUAAUUUUGUGGUGUUUACAACUAAUUGAUCACAACCAGUUACGGAUUCCUUUGUUCCUUCUCCACUCCCACUGCUUCAUUUGACCAGCCUUUA